UACAGAGGCCCCAAGCGUUACUGAAAAUCACUGGGUUUAAAGGGUGCGUAGGUGGCGCGUUAAGUCCGUUGUCAAAUCCCUUGGCUCAACCAAGGAAUGGCUUCGGAUACUGGCGUGCUUGAGGCCGGUAAGGGUCACUGGAACUGACGGUGGAGCGGUGAAAUGCGUAGAUAUCGUCAGGAACGCCAAUGGUGAAGACAGGUGACUGGGCCGGUUCUGACACUGAGGCGCGAAAGCUAGGGGAGCAAACGGG
This 253-nucleotide ribosomal RNA is filed under the name uncultured bacterium. Its description in RNAcentral is "partial 16S ribosomal RNA". It matches the Rfam family "Bacterial small subunit ribosomal RNA", at positions 524 to 776 of the family's 1533-position model. The record is from RNAcentral.